Molecule: non-coding RNA, 1270 nt
Organism: Heterocephalus glaber (naked mole-rat)
Lineage: Eukaryota; Metazoa; Chordata; Mammalia; Rodentia; Bathyergidae
Source: RefSeq, a predicted model, not a curated record
UUCAAGUUCAUACAUCUUUUAAAAGAAACUAGUGGCUUUUAUAGAACUUUACCCUCCUUGCAAAACAUGCACACAUACACAUAUAUACAUACACAUCUCCAUCCUAUACACAUCUAUUAAGUACCAGUUAUUUCUUUCACCUGCAAUUAAUAAAGGAUGAUCCUUACCUAAAAUACAGUAGUUGAGAAUAAUGGCAAAUUCUUGCAGUCAGAAUAAAUGACUUUUACAUCACAAAGGAGGCAUGGUGCUCGAGUUCUUUACCAAGUUCGGUGCUUAGGAGCAGCUACUGGAAGUGCUGUUUCCUAAGCCCAGGUGGCAGGAAACACUACUCUAGUAUUUAAGCUUCUGGAACUCCUUUUACAUUUUUAUCAGUUACUCUAAGGAAAUGACCACUCCCUGGAGUACAGGAAAAUCUACAUGGCAGAAAUGAUGAGUAGGACACAGUUUGCCAGACAGGAAGACUGCGUGCGUGCCCAGUGGUGCCUUACCUUUCACGUUCCAGGUGCUGCUGAUGCUGCCAGGCUGAGCACCAGAUUCUGAGAACUACUGCUCUAGAUGAACAACAGCUGUGUAUCCACUUCAGUUGUUCCAGAAAAUUGCGGAAAGAAAUACACGGGGACACAGAAUUCAGAUGCCAGGAGUUGAGCACCUUCCUCCACCACACCCCUCUGCCACGAUGCUUUUGCCUUGCAGCCAGCCCACUGUGGAUAGAAACCUCUGAAACUGUAAGCCAAAAUAAACGUCUCCUUUAAGGUGCAAGGUGCAGGUGGGUAUUUUGUCUCAGCAAUGGGAAAACUAAUACAGCCUUCUGCCCUGCUCUGGCACCUGCAGCCAUGUGGACCUCCCCUCCAGGAGCUGAUUUCCUGCCCACACUAGGCUGUGUUAUCUUUUUACCCAGCAUUUUAUACUCAGCUAGCUGCUCACCAAGACCAAGCCCUAGGAAAAGUUUUAACAAGCAAGUUCUUUUCAACUCUUCAGAGCCAGGAUUCACUAUUGAGAUUUAGUAUCUCUCAGGGACAUUAGCAUUUAAAUGGGACCCUGUAGAAUCCAGAAACCUUCAUAGCUCAAGGAAUAAAGCCACAGCAAAGAAUUGUUUUUAAUCAGUUUGGGCCAGGGCUCUUGUCCCCAGACAACCCGAGCCACAUGCUUAGGGCCAGCACCUGAGUUGGCCAAUCCCACCUCCACUUUAAGGACUGUUCCCGUGAAAAAGAUAGAGAACUAAUGUCUUACACCACAUGAGUUCCCAGGUCUACUGGGGAACUGCACAAAU